AUUCAAAAGGAAUUGAUAGGAUUUUCUCUCUCCAAUUAUCUCCUACAAUAAGAUAAGAGGUAAGAAGCAAGGAAGACUGUUUAUGAAUAGAACUUUUCAGUUCCAAUGCGCGGAAUCGAAAAAAAAAAGACUAUCUUUCUUUCGGGGUCAUAGAUCAGAGAAUUCCCUAUUUCAAGCUUCCUUUAGGCAAAAAAGUUAGCAAAGGUACAGACAGCCCGAUCUAGCCAGUGAGCAAAUAUGUCCGCUUUCGAUUCAAUAUCUUUC
Molecule: long non-coding RNA, 264 nt
Filed under: Solanum pimpinellifolium
Lineage: Eukaryota; Viridiplantae; Streptophyta; Magnoliopsida; Solanales; Solanaceae
Description: long non-coding RNA (SPIM_LNC000225)
Source: RNAcentral